UACGGGGGGGGCAAGCGUUGUUCGGAAUUACUGGGCUUAAGGGGCGCGUAGGCGGCUUGCCAAGUCAGGGGUGAAAUCCUGCAGCUCAACUGUAGAAGUGCCUUUGAUACUGGCGAGCUCGAGGGAGGUAGGGGUGGGUGGAACUUCUGGUGGAGCGGUGAAAUGCGUUGAUAUCAGAAGGAACGCCGGUGGCGAAAGCGACCCACUGGAUCUCUACUGACGCUGAGGCGCGAAAGCUAGGGGAGCAAACGGG
RNAcentral lists this ribosomal RNA (253 nucleotides) under uncultured bacterium. Its description in RNAcentral is "partial 16S ribosomal RNA". It matches the Rfam family "Bacterial small subunit ribosomal RNA", at positions 524 to 776 of the family's 1533-position model. The record is from RNAcentral.